Molecule: ribosomal RNA, 429 nt
Filed under: Bacteroidota bacterium
Lineage: Bacteria; Pseudomonadati; Bacteroidota
Description: Bacteroidetes bacterium partial 16S ribosomal RNA
Rfam family: Bacterial small subunit ribosomal RNA
Source: RNAcentral
UAGGGAAUCUUCGGCAAUGGGGGGAACCCUGACCGAGCAACGCCGCGUGAGGGAAGAAGGUUUUCGGAUCGUAAAGCUCUGUUGUUAAGGAAGAACGAGUGUGAGAAUGUAAAGUUCAUACUGUGACGGUACUUAACCAGAAAGGGACGGCUAACUACGUGCCAGCAGCCGCGGUAAUACGUAGGUCCCGAGCGUUUUCCGGAUUUAUUGGGCGUAAAGCGAGCGGAGGCGGUUAGAUAAGCCUGAAGUUAAAGGCAGUGGCUCAACCAUUGUAGGCUUUGGAAACUGUUUAACUUGAGUGCAGAAGGGGAGAGUGGAAUUCCAUGUGUAGCGGUGAAAUGCGUAGAUCUAUGGAGGAACACCGGUGGUGAAAGCGGCUCUCUGGUCUGUAACUGACGCUGAGGCUCGAAAGCGUGGGGAGCGAACAGG